AUGGGUCAACUCAACUCAACCCAU
RNAcentral lists this non-coding RNA (24 nucleotides) under Arabidopsis thaliana (thale cress). Lineage: Eukaryota; Viridiplantae; Streptophyta; Magnoliopsida; Brassicales; Brassicaceae. The record is from RNAcentral.